GGAAGAGGGACAUAGAGAGGGAGAGAUAGCUGCAGCACCGAUCCAUGUGCGUCCCUCCAGAAGCUGCACACUCGGUCGAAGAGGACAGCCUUCCCUGAAUAGAGACGAACUGGUCUUCAGUUGAAGGCAUAUGAGUAGCUGCGCUCCCCUGCUAGAACUUCCAAACAAGCGCUCAAGGUCCAUUUGUAGGAGAAUGUAGGGUAGUCAAGCUCCCAAGACUCCAGACACAUCCAAAUGAGGUGCUACAUGUGGCAGUCUGCCUUUCUUU
This is an unclassified non-coding RNA of Erinaceus europaeus (western European hedgehog), 268 nucleotides long. Its record names the gene 7SK. It matches the Rfam family "7SK RNA". Rfam says of the family: 7SK was discovered as an abundant small nuclear RNA in the mid-70s but a possible function has only recently been suggested. Two independent studies have found that 7SK RNA binds the CDK9/cyclin T complex (known as elongation factor P-TEFb). P-TEFb activates transcription by phosphorylating the C-terminal domain of RNA polymerase II. NCBI's taxonomy places the organism in Eukaryota, Metazoa, Chordata, Mammalia, Eulipotyphla, Erinaceidae. The record is from Ensembl.